CGCACCUUGCGCUCCUUGGUAUUCCGAGGAGCAUGCCUGUUUGAGCGUCGUGAAUCUCUCAACCCACAAAUUGUUUGUUCAGUUUGUGCGGCUUGGACUUGGAGGCAUUGCUGGCGAUGGUCAGCUCCUCUUAAAUGUAUUAGCUGGGCUUAGCUCGGUGGAACGGUUAGUGUGAUAAUUAUCUGCGCUGCCUACUACAUCGGAUCCCGCUUCUAAUCGUCCGUAAGGACAAUUCACUUUGAAUCUGACCUCAAAUCAGGUAGGACUACCCGCUGAACUUAA
RNAcentral lists this unclassified non-coding RNA (282 nucleotides) under Vuilleminia comedens. Its description in RNAcentral is "partial contains 5.8S ribosomal RNA, internal transcribed spacer 2, and large subunit ribosomal RNA". Lineage: Eukaryota; Fungi; Basidiomycota; Agaricomycetes; Corticiales; Vuilleminiaceae. The record is from RNAcentral.